Molecule: long non-coding RNA, 1126 nt
Filed under: Paramuricea clavata
Lineage: Eukaryota; Metazoa; Cnidaria; Anthozoa; Malacalcyonacea; Plexauridae
Source: RNAcentral
GAGGGACUCAGCGUGUGUGCUGGGGGUCGUGAGUUCGGUCCCGGAAUGCGCGCAAACGAAUUUGAAUUUUUCUUUUUGCCGAAAUUGUUUUUUUUCUCGUUUAUUUACCUGUCGCAUAGCUAGCUAUAUGCAUUGGGAAGAUGAAUUUAGAUGCAUUUCGAUGAUUUUCGGAAAAUNNNNNNNNNNNNNNNNNNNNUCUGCUUAUGAAACAUUCUAGAACCAGUCUCCAAAAUGCGCGCAUUUUUUGAACGAAUAGUAUACUAUAGUACAGCCCGGCUGGCAGCCGAGCAAUCGGAGACAAAAUUUCCGGCUGUCAGCCGGCGUCAAACGCGCUAAUCGGGUGAAUGGUUGUACAUGUAUAUGAAUUUGACAAAUAUUUGACAUGAAAUUAUGUGCUGGUAUAAAGAGGGAAGUAAGGUUUUAUAGAUUUAGCCAAGGCCGGGUUUUGUCAUGCAUGAGCUUGUGGUGAACUGAUGCACGACAAAGCUCAGCUGAUCUUAAAAUGCAUGUUUUGCCCAAGUUUGUAUAUUGUGUGCUCUCUGAUAGUUUGUUGUAUGUACGUUUAAAAGGCUGUGCAUUAUUUUUUUGCCCCAUCCCUAUGAGUAUUGGGUUAAUUGACUCAAGCGCUGGCAUAUUUCUGGUGUCCCUGAGGUAAGGGCUGUUAAUGCGACAGCUAGGCCAGUAAGCAAGACCUCACUGUGUGGUUAUUUUUAUAGCGGAAAUUCCUUUCAAAUUGUAUGGACAACCUGACUGGCUCAGUUUUCAGAUCUCAUCAGAACAAGGCAAGCUCUCAGUUACACCGGGAAGAUAUUUUAUGGCUAUAAACACUAACUGGACUGACUUGGUGAAAAUAAAGUCAAAACAACAUUGGUCAUGAAAAUAUUGUCAAAACAAUAGAAUUGUGUCGGCAAAGAAAUAAGAAAUUAUUCUGCCAACCAGGCCAGUCUGGCUUCCAUAUUGAUAGCCCCUAUGGCUAUAAUCUAUUCUUAGCCUCCUCCGCAGGCCUCUUUAUGGGUUUUUAGUGGUGUAACUUUACUUUUUUGACCACUUGCCCUCGGGGCAAGUUGGACAUGAAAAUUACUUGCCCUGAAUAAAACUUAGCCACUGGGGUACCGAGGUAGGAGGU